AGUAACGCGUGAGGAACCUGCCUCAAAGAGGGGGACAACAGUUGGAAACGACUGCUAAUACCGCAUAAGCCCACGGCUCGGCAUCGAGCAGAGGGAAAAGGAGUGAUCCGCUUUGAGAUGGCCUCGCGUCCGAUUAGCUAGUUGGUGAGGUAACGGCCCACCAAGGCGACGAUCGGUAGCCGGACUGAGAGGUUGAACAGCCACAUUGGGACUGAGACACGGCCCAG
This 227-nucleotide ribosomal RNA is filed under the name uncultured bacterium. RNAcentral describes it as "partial 16S ribosomal RNA". It matches the Rfam family "Bacterial small subunit ribosomal RNA", at positions 109 to 334 of the family's 1533-position model. The record is from RNAcentral.